GUACCCGUAGCUCAGUUGGAUUAGAGCGUUCCCCUCCGAAGGGAAAGGCCGCGCGUUCAAGUCGCGCCGGGUACA
RNAcentral lists this transfer RNA (75 nucleotides) under Candidatus Collierbacteria bacterium. RNAcentral's name for it is "tRNA-Arg". It matches the Rfam family "tRNA". Rfam says of the family: Transfer RNA (tRNA) molecules are approximately 80 nucleotides in length. Their secondary structure includes four short double-helical elements and three loops (D, anti-codon, and T loops). Further hydrogen bonds mediate the characteristic L-shaped molecular structure. tRNAs have two regions of fundamental functional importance: the anti-codon, which is responsible for specific mRNA codon recognition, and the 3' end, to which the tRNAs corresponding amino acid is attached (by aminoacyl-tRNA synthetases). tRNAs cope with the degeneracy of the genetic code in two manners: having more than one tRNA (with a specific anti-codon) for a particular amino acid; and 'wobble' base-pairing, i.e. permitting non-standard base-pairing at the 3rd anti-codon position. Lineage: Bacteria; Candidatus Collieribacteriota. The record is from RNAcentral.